RNAcentral lists this ribosomal RNA (323 nucleotides) under Hemilamprops uniplicatus. RNAcentral's name for it is "partial large subunit ribosomal RNA". It matches the Rfam family "Eukaryotic large subunit ribosomal RNA", at positions 691 to 947 of the family's 3401-position model. Lineage: Eukaryota; Metazoa; Arthropoda; Malacostraca; Cumacea; Lampropidae. The record is from RNAcentral.
UCGAUGAGUUGCUAUAACUCCGAGGCGAAACGAAAGUAACGCAGCCGAUCCGGGGAUCCCCUAGGGGUAUUCCCCGGCGCAGGCUCGAGGCCCGCUAACGUCGACUUUGGGGCUUUCGGUCGGUCGCGCUUUCGAGCGGGGCCGGCUCCUCUUAGCCGUCGGGCGGGCACUCUGAGCGCACACGUUAGUACCCGAAAGAUGGUGAUCUAUGCUUGGUGAGGAUGAAGCCAGAGGAAACUCUGGUGGAGGUUCGCAGCGAUUCUGACGUGCAAAUCGAUCGUCGGAGCUGAGUAUAGGGGCGAAAGACCAAUCGAACCAUCUAG